GGGUGGUUAGCUCAGUUGGUGAGAGCACUAGCUUGACAUGCUAGGGGUCACAGGUUCAAGUCCUGUAUCGCCCA
Molecule: transfer RNA, 74 nt
Filed under: Treponema sp.
Lineage: Bacteria; Pseudomonadati; Spirochaetota; Spirochaetia; Treponematales; Treponemataceae
Description: tRNA-Val
Rfam family: tRNA
About the family: Transfer RNA (tRNA) molecules are approximately 80 nucleotides in length. Their secondary structure includes four short double-helical elements and three loops (D, anti-codon, and T loops). Further hydrogen bonds mediate the characteristic L-shaped molecular structure. tRNAs have two regions of fundamental functional importance: the anti-codon, which is responsible for specific mRNA codon recognition, and the 3' end, to which the tRNAs corresponding amino acid is attached (by aminoacyl-tRNA synthetases). tRNAs cope with the degeneracy of the genetic code in two manners: having more than one tRNA (with a specific anti-codon) for a particular amino acid; and 'wobble' base-pairing, i.e. permitting non-standard base-pairing at the 3rd anti-codon position.
Source: RNAcentral